This 456-nucleotide ribosomal RNA is filed under the name uncultured Latescibacterota bacterium. RNAcentral's name for it is "bacterial SSU rRNA". It matches the Rfam family "Bacterial small subunit ribosomal RNA", at positions 929 to 1382 of the family's 1533-position model. The record is from RNAcentral. Lineage: Bacteria; Pseudomonadati; Candidatus Latescibacterota.
GCAGCGGAGCGUGUGGUUUAAUUCGAUGUUACACGAAGAACCUUACCAGGGUUUGACAUGCAAGUGGUAGGAAGCCCGAAAGGUGACCGACCUUCGGGGAGCUUGCACAGGUGCUGCAUGGCUGUCGUCAGCUCGUGUCGUGAGAUGUUGGGUUAAGUCCCGCAACGAGCGCAACCCUUAUCCCCAGUUGCCAUCAGGUAAAGCUGGGGAACUCUGGGGAGACUGCCGGUGAUAAACCGGAGGAAGGCGGGGAUGACGUCAAGUCCUCAUGGCCCUUACAUCCCGGGCUACACACGUGCUACAAUGGCAGGUACAGAGGGCUGCGAAGCCGCGAGGUGGAGCGAAUCCCAGAAAACCUGUCUCAGUCCGGAUUGAAGUCUGCAACUCGACUUCAUGAAGGCGGAAUCGCUAGUAACCGCGAAUCAGCAGGUCGCGGUGAAUACGUUCCCGGGCCUU